Molecule: ribosomal RNA, 428 nt
Filed under: uncultured archaeon
Lineage: Archaea
Description: bacterial SSU rRNA
Rfam family: Archaeal small subunit ribosomal RNA
Source: RNAcentral
UACCAGCUCUCCGAGUGGUAGGGAUGAUUAUUGGGCUUAAAGCGUCCGUAGCCGGCUUAGCAAGUCUCCUGUUAAAUUCUGCGACCUAAUCGUUGAGCCGCGGGAGACACUACUAGGCUAGGAGGCGGGAGAGGCCGACGGUAUUCUCGGGGUAGGGGUGAAAUCCUAUAAUCCCGGGAGGACCACUAGUGGCGAAGGCUGUUGACUAGAACGCGCUCGACGGUGAGGGACGAAAGCUGGGGGAGCGAACCGGAUUAGAUACCCGGGUAGUCCCAGCUGUAAACGAUGCGAGCUAGGUGUUGGGAUGGCUACGUGCCAUUUCAGUGCCGCAGGGAAGCCAUUAAGCUCGCCGCCUGGGGAGUACGGCCGCAAGGCUGAAACUUAAAGGAAUUGGCGGGGAGCACCACAAGGCGUGAAGCUUGCGGUUC